AACGCACGAGACCUGCGGACCUGCGGAGGGAUCAUUACCGAGUUUACAACUCCCAAACCCAAUGUGAACGUUACCAAACUGUUGCCUCGGCGGGAUCUCUGCCCCGGGUGCGUCGCAGCCCCGGACCAAGGCGCCCGCCGGAGGACCAACCUAAAACUCUUAUUGUAUACCCCCUCGCGGGUUUUUUUAUAAUCUGAGCCUUCUCGGCGCCUCUCGUAGGCGUUUCGAAAAUGAAUCAAA
RNAcentral lists this unclassified non-coding RNA (240 nucleotides) under soil metagenome. Its description in RNAcentral is "partial contains 5.8S ribosomal RNA, internal transcribed spacer 2, and large subunit ribosomal RNA". The record is from RNAcentral.